Molecule: ribosomal RNA, 664 nt
Filed under: uncultured Lactarius
Lineage: Eukaryota; Fungi; Basidiomycota; Agaricomycetes; Russulales; Russulaceae
Description: eukaryotic LSU rRNA
Rfam family: 5.8S ribosomal RNA (bases 216-369)
Source: RNAcentral
UAUCGUACAAAAUGUGAGAGGGGUGCAUGCUUGGGCUGUUGCUGGCUCAAAGUAGCCGUGCACGCCUGGGUGUGUCCCCUCGCACAACAAUCCAUCUCACCCUUUUGUGCAUCACCGCGUGGGCUCCCUUCUCGGAGGGGGCUCGCGUUUUCACACAAACCCCCCUUUUAAAAGUGUAGAAUGACCUCAUGUAUGCGUUAACCCGCAAUCAAUACAACUUUCAACAACGGAUCUCUUGGCUCUCGCAUCGAUGAAGAACGCAGCGAAAUGCGAUACGUAAUGUGAAUUGCAGAAUUCAGUGAAUCAUCGAAUCUUUGAACGCACCUUGCGCCCCUUGGUAUUCCGAGGGGCACACCCGUUUGAGUGUCGUGAAAACCUCAACCUCCUUGGUUUCUUCUGGAGACCAAAGCAGGCUUGGACUUUGGAGGCCUUUGCUGGCACCUCUCUUUUCUGAAGGCCAGCUCCUCUUAAACAAAUUAGCAGGGUCCUCUUUGCUGAUCCUCGACGUGUGAUAAGAUGUUUCCAUGUCUUGGUUUCUGGCUCUGUCACCUUUGGGACCUGCUUCUAACUGUCCGGACCUUGCGUCGAGACAACGUUCGAGCAUGUGCCUCCCUUCUUGGGAAGCUCCCUCGACCCCACGAACCCUUGACCUCAAAUCGGGUGA